GGGCAUGGCGGGUCUAUAAUGCAGUCGAGCGGACAGAUGGGAGCUUGCUCCCUGAUGUUAGCGGCGGACGGGUGAGUAACACGUGGGUAACCUGCCUGUAAGACUGGGAUAACUCCGGGAAACCGGGGCUAAUACCGGAUGCUUGUUUGAACCGCAUGGUUCAAACAUAAAAGGUGGCUUCGGCUACCACUUACAGAUGGACCCGCGGCGCAUUAGCUAGUUGGUGAGGUAAUGGCUCACCAAGGCAACGAUGCGUAGCCGACCUGAGAGGGUGAUCGGCCACACUGGGACUGAGACACGGCCCAGACUCCUACGGGAGGCAGCAGUAGGGAAUCUUCCGCAAUGGACGAAAGUCUGACGGAGCAACGCCGCGUGAGUGAUGAAGGUUUUCGGAUCGUAAAGCUCUGUUGUUAGGGAAGAACAAGUACCGUUCGAAUAGGGCGGUACCUUGACGGUACCUAACCAGAAAGCCACGGCUAACUACGUGCCAGCAGCCGCGGUAAUACGUAGGUGGCAAGCGUUGUCCGGAAUUAUUGGGCGUAAAGGGCUCGCAGGCGGUUUCUUAAGUCUGAUGUGAAAGCCCCCGGCUCAACCGGGGAGGGUCAUUGGAAACUGGGGAACUUGAGUGCAGAAGAGGAGAGUGGAAUUCCACGUGUAGCGGUGAAAUGCGUAGAGAUGUGGAGGAACACCAGUGGCGAAGGCGACUCUCUGGUCUGUAACUGACGCUGAGGAGCGAAAGCGUGGGGAGCGAACAGGAUUAGAUACCCUGGUAGUCCACGCCGUAAACGAUGAGUGCUAAGUGUUAGGGGGUUUCCGCCCCUUAGUGCUGCAGCUAACGCAUUAAGCACUCCGCCUGGGGAGUACGGUCGCAAGACUGAAACUCAAAGGAAUUGACGGGGGGCCCGCACAAGCGGUGGAGCAUGUGGUUUAAUUCGAAGCAACGCGAAGAACCUUACCAGGUCUUGACAUCCUCUGACAAUCCUAGAGAUAGGACGUCCCCUUUCGGGGGCAGAGUGACAGGGUGGUGCAUGGUUUGUCGUUCAGCUCGUGUCGUGAGAUGUUGGGUUUAAGUCCCGCAACGAGCGCAACCCUUGAAUCUUAGUUGCAGCAUUUCAGCUGGGCACUCUAGUGACUGCCCGCUGACUACCGGCAGGAGCUGAGGAAUGAACGGUCCAAUCAAUCAUUGACCCCCGUUUAUAUUGA
RNAcentral lists this ribosomal RNA (1203 nucleotides) under Bacillus rugosus. Its description in RNAcentral is "bacterial SSU rRNA". It matches the Rfam family "Bacterial small subunit ribosomal RNA", at positions 37 to 1213 of the family's 1533-position model. Lineage: Bacteria; Bacillati; Bacillota; Bacilli; Caryophanales; Bacillaceae. The record is from RNAcentral.